RNAcentral lists this ribosomal RNA (292 nucleotides) under uncultured bacterium. RNAcentral's name for it is "partial 16S ribosomal RNA". It matches the Rfam family "Bacterial small subunit ribosomal RNA", at positions 505 to 796 of the family's 1533-position model. The record is from RNAcentral.
GUGCCAGCCGCCGCGGUAAUACGGGGGGGGCAAGCGUUGUUCGGAAUUACUGGGCGUAAAGGGCUCGUAGGCGGCCGACUAAGUCAGACGUGAAAUCCCUCGGCUUAACCGGGGAACUGCGUCUGAUACUGGACGGCUUGAGUUUGGGAGAGGGAUGCGGAAUUCCAGGUGUAGCGGUGAAAUGCGUAGAUAUCUGGAGGAACACCGGUGGCGAAGGCGGCAUCCUGGACCAACACUGACGCUGAUGAGCGAAAGCCAGGGGAGCAAACGGGAUUAGAUACCCUGGUAGUCC